CAGCAACAGAGGGGACUAGCAGCGAAUAUGUAAGUGUCUGAGCAGUGAAGGUUACGGAAAAGGUCCAGGCUAAGGUUUUCUCAGUGGAUAUACUUUACACCAAAUCUCAGAAGAUUCAGAACUUAGAUGAGUGGGGCCCAGGACAGGAACCCUGGAGCCUUGGAAGGAGGGGAGCCCCAUCUCCCCAGAAGAGCAGUGACCCCAGCAGAGAGGGGCCUGGUGUAUCACUGGAGGAAAUAGCCUGCCAAGGAAUACACGUCUUCAGAAGAAAUUCUGUGUGGCUUCAAGAGACUGAUCAAAUUGUGAGAGGAAAACAGCCUACCCGGUAAUUGUAGUUAAAUUACUGUUUUUUAUUCUAGGCACUCUUCAAACUUCCUCCUGACUCUGCCCCUGUCCUAG
This 399-nucleotide long non-coding RNA is filed under the name Homo sapiens (human). Its description in RNAcentral is "HSALNT0102800". Lineage: Eukaryota; Metazoa; Chordata; Mammalia; Primates; Hominidae. The record is from RNAcentral.